GGGUCAGCAAGUUGGUCGUGCCACCGGUAUGCACUGGCUUUGCUGAUUCCUCCUUCUUGUAGAACCGUAAUGCCAUUAAGUUGGUGUUGCGGGAAAACAGGACUGUUACUUUGAAAAAAUUAGAGUGUUUAAAGCAGGCUAACGCUUGAAUACAUUAGCAUGGAAUAAUGAAAUAGGACGACGAUCCUAUUUUGUUGGUUUCUAGGAUUGACGUAAUGAUUAAUAGGGAUGGUUGGGGGCAUUAGUAUUCAAUUGUCAGAGGUGAAAUUCUUGGAUUUAUUGAAGACUAACUACUGCGAAAGCAUUUGCCAAGGAUGUUUUCAUUAAUCAAGAACGAAAGUUAGGGGAUCGAAGACGAUCAGAUACCGUCGUAGUCUUAACCAUAAACUAUGCCGACUAGGGAUCGGAUGAUGUUAAUUUUUUAAUGACUCAUUCGGCGCCUUACGGGAAACCAAAGUGUUUGGGUUCCGGGGGGAGUAUGGUCGCAAGGCUGAAACUUAAAGGAAUUGACGGAAGGGCACCACCAGGGGUGGAGCCUGCGGCUUAAUUUGACUCAACACGGGGAAACUCACCAGGUCCAGACAUAGUAAGGAUUGACAGAUUGAGAGC
Molecule: ribosomal RNA, 609 nt
Filed under: Glomus sp. ZJ
Lineage: Eukaryota; Fungi; Glomeromycota; Glomeromycetes; Glomerales; Glomeraceae
Description: SSU rRNA
Rfam family: Eukaryotic small subunit ribosomal RNA
Source: RNAcentral